Molecule: ribosomal RNA, 433 nt
Filed under: uncultured bacterium
Lineage: Bacteria
Description: partial 16S ribosomal RNA
Rfam family: Bacterial small subunit ribosomal RNA
Source: RNAcentral
AACGAACGCUGGCGGCAUGCCUAACACAUGCAAGUCGAACGAGACCUUCGGGUCUAGUGGCGCACGGGUGCGUAACGCGUGGGAACCUGCCCUUAGGUUCGGAAUAACUCCCCGAAAGGGGUGCUAAUACCGGAUAAUGUCUUCGGACCAAAGAUUUAUCGCCUUUGGAUGGGCCCGCGUUGGAUUAGCUAGUUGGUAGGGUAAAAGCCUACCAAGGCGACGAUCCAUAGCUGGUCUGAGAGGAUGAUCAGCCACACUGGGACUGAGACACGGCCCAGACUCCUACGGGAAGCAGCAGUGGGGAAUAUUGGACAAUGGGCGAAAGCCUGAUCCAGCAAUGCCGCGUGAGUGAUGAAGGCCUUAGGUUUGUAAAGCUCUUUUACCCGGGAUGAUAAUGACAGUACCGGGAGAAUAAGCUCCGGCUAACUCCGUG